RNAcentral lists this ribosomal RNA (441 nucleotides) under uncultured bacterium. RNAcentral's name for it is "partial 16S ribosomal RNA". It matches the Rfam family "Bacterial small subunit ribosomal RNA", at positions 338 to 795 of the family's 1533-position model. The record is from RNAcentral.
CCUACGUGAGGCAGCAGUAGGGAAUCUUUCACAAUGGGCGCAAGCCUGAUGGAGCAACGCCGCGUGCAGGAUGAAGGCCUUCGGGUUGUAAACUGCUUUUAUAAGCGAGAAAUAUGAUGGUAACUUAUGACUACUGAUCGGCUAACUACGUGCCAGCAGCCGCGGUCAUACGUAGGAUCCGAGCAUUAUCCGGAGUGACUGGGUGUAAAGAGUUGCGUAGGUGGAAUAAUAAGUAGCUAGUGAAAUCUGGUGGCUCAACCAUUCAGACUAUUAGCUAAACUGUUAAGCUCGAGACCGUUAGGGGGAACUGGAAUUUCUGUGUAGGAGUGAAAUCCGUAGAUAUUAGAAGGAACACCAAUAGCGUAGGCAGGUUGCUGGGACGGUUCUGACACUAAGGCACGAAAGCGUAGGGAGCAAACGGGAUUAGAUACCCGUGUAGUC